UCACUGCAGGGAAUGGCCCUGGGGGGAACCCUGAACAGCUCCAAGCUGGAUUGGGGAGUGGGAAUGACUACGGGAGCUUAAUCUAAAUAAUUCAGGGAAAAAUUGAAUUUACAGAGCUCAAAUCACUGCAGGGAAUGGCCCUGGAGGGUGAACCCUGAACAGCUCCAAGGUGGAUUGGGGAGUGGGAAUGACUACGGGAGCUUAAUCUAAAUAAUUUAGGGAAAAAUUGAAUUUACAGAGCUCAAAUCACUGCAGGGAAUGGCCCUGGGGGGAACCCUGAACAGCUCCAAGCUGGAUUGGGGAGUGGGAAUGACUACGGGAGCUUAACUGGAAUAAUUUCAGGUAAAAAUUGAAUUUACAGAGCUCAAAUCACUGCAGGGAAUGGCCCUGGUGGGUGAGCCCUGAACAGCUCCAAGCUGGAUUGGGGAGUGGGAAUGACUACAGCAGCUUAACUGGAAUAAUUUCAGGUAAAAAUUGAAUUUACAGAGCUCAAAUCACUGCAGGGAAUGGUCUGGGGGGAACCCUGAACAGCUCCAAGGUGGGCAGGGGAGUGGGAAUGACUACAGCAGCUUAACUGGAAUUAAUUCAGGUAAAAAUUGAAUUUACAGAGCUCAAAUCACUGCAGGAAAUGGCCCUGGUGGGUGAGCCCUGAACAGCUCCACGGUGGGCAGGGGAGUGGGAAUGACUACAGCAGCUUAACUGGAAUAAUUUCAGGUAAAAAUUGAAUUUACAGAGCUCAAAUCACUGCAGGGAAUGGUCUGGGGGGAACCCUGAACAGCUCCAAGGUGGGCAGGGGAGUGGGAAUGACUACAGCAGCUUAAUUGGAAUAAUUCAGGUAAAAAUUGAAUUUACAGAGAUCAAAUCACUGCAGGAAAUGGUGUUUGGUGCUUUGGAUCUGAACAGCUCCAUGGUGGGCAGGGGAGUGGCACAGGGAAUGGGGCUCUAUGGGAUCUUAGCUUG
Molecule: long non-coding RNA, 960 nt
Organism: Serinus canaria (Common canary)
Lineage: Eukaryota; Metazoa; Chordata; Aves; Passeriformes; Fringillidae
Exons: 3
Source: RefSeq, a predicted model, not a curated record